GUACUGCUGAAGAGUCCCAUAUCAGGAUGAAACAACUGUCGAGUAC
This 46-nucleotide non-coding RNA is filed under the name Trichobilharzia regenti. The record is from RNAcentral. Lineage: Eukaryota; Metazoa; Platyhelminthes; Trematoda; Strigeidida; Schistosomatidae.